RNAcentral lists this ribosomal RNA (238 nucleotides) under uncultured bacterium. RNAcentral's name for it is "partial 16S ribosomal RNA". It matches the Rfam family "Bacterial small subunit ribosomal RNA", at positions 524 to 757 of the family's 1533-position model. The record is from RNAcentral.
UACGUAGGGUGCAAGCGUUUAAUCGGAAUUACUGGGCGUAAAGCGUGCGCAGGCGGUUUUGUAAGCCAGAUGUGAAAUCCCCGGGCUUAACCUGGGAAUGGCAUUUGGGACUGCAAGGCUUGAGUGCGGCAGAGGAGACUGGAAUUCCUGGUGUAGCAGUGAAAUGCGUAGAUAUCAGGAGGAACACCGAUGGGCGAAGGCAGGUCUCUGGGCUGACGACUGACGCUCAUGCGACGAA